UAAUAACUGGAGGGGAACUUUAAAGGCCAUUUCAUAAUUACUGCGUACCUUUGGUGGGUUUUACGGCAUGGUUGAGGGGUGGGCUGAAGUAUGCAGAGGGUGGCAUGUGCCAUUUGUUGAUGCUUGGCGGAAAAUACAUGGUGCACAAAGGAGAAGUGAAGUGUGCAGCACAGAUUAAUGCAAUGGGGUUUUCUAUGAAAUUGCCGGAGCCAACAUGGACUACAUCAAAACACUGAAACAGGAAAAGCUACAAUUAUUUAGGCAAAGGACUUAAUAACCAGUGAAGAUUUCUCUACCUGUGAGAAAUCUUCACUGGUAGAUUUCUGACAGUUGAAUUCAAGCAAUAUUAAUAUUGCUUGAAAGUUAUAAUAAAGGUGGACAAAACAAUGUUUGGACAAAGUGCUGGAUGUCUGCAUCAAUAGAUGGACCAAACGAAUGGAAGGACAGACUUAUAAACAGAGGGGACGAGCAAAUUGACUGAUGGAUGGACAAACAGAGGGACAGAUGGACCAGUAGAUGGACAAACAAACGGGUGAAGGGAUGGAUGGAUAUCUGCACCAAUGGACAGGAUAUAAAAAAUCUUUAAAAGUUCCAUCUUGAUUUAAAGAUGGGACUUUAAAUCAACACAACCACAUGAGAGGCAAAGACGGGACAUGACGGCAGGAAAACACACAGAAGUGCAGAAACAACCAGCAUGCAUGAGGCUGUGUGCAAAUCGGGAGCAUCAGUGGGCGAGGAGGUGGGCGUUUCAGAUGGAAGAGCCCCCAGGUGUGUUGUAAGAGGGCUAGCUUGCUGCCUGCUGAGAUGUUAGAUCCUGAGGAAGAGAACCGGAGGGGAGAACGAAGGAAGAGCUGUUCACAGGGCUCACUACACACACACACACAUAAAAAUGUUGGGAAAUGCUGUGCUGGGUAUGACUCGGUGGAGGAAACUCCCAGACUGGAGCAUGUUCGCCAUAAUCACAUAAGACUGGAACAGAUACCUCUGCAACAGAGCAGGGAGGAAGAUGGAGGGGGGUUCUCGGGUUUUGGGGGGCGGGGUCCUAAAAAAAGAAUCAGUGUGCCUGGAGAAAAGGAACCAAAGCGAGAAUAAAGAGAAUUGGAUGUAGAACAGAGAGGAAGAUAAAACGGGAGACAGAUGAAUGGUGUUUGGGGAUUGAGACGGAGGGAAACCAGUGGGAAGAUGUGAAAAAACACUGAAAGCAGAGAGAGAGAAAUUAAGCUCAAAGCUCUAUUGGCGACAGCUGAAGAAAGCGAUGGAGAGAACGGUAAAAUGAGAAGAAAGAGAGGGAGAGUUGGAGGAGCGAAGCGCACCUCAGAGCAGGUUGAGCCCAAGAGGAGAAAAAAGGUUUUAGCCAGAUUAAAGGAGCCAGGCGGGCCUCUUAAGACCAGCCGCCUAAUGAAAUAUGUCAAAGCCCAUAAAGAAACACUGGGGCCAUUUAGGAAGGCGGGCGGUGGCGGCUGUGUCGGGCGGGGCGGGGCGCACCAAGCCUGGCAAAUAUGCCGCAUCGGCAAAAAAUGAAAACCAUAGCAAGAGUCUGUCAAUACGCAUUAGCAAGACGUCGACUGGAGAGGAGAUGAAGAAAGGAAGGAAUGGAUCACUUUCUUUAUCAUGGACCUUCAGCUAUGCUGGGAUAAUCAUAACAAAGAGAAGAGAGAGAAAGAGAUGGUAGGAGGAGUGGGAGCCACUUGUGGGAAUGCUGAGUAUAGAGAAAUCCAGGUCGGCAUGGGGCCAUUUCCUACAGGAACUUUAAUGAUCGACUACUGAGAGACAAGACAGAAGAGGACCGAUCCAUCCAUUUAUCCAUCCACUCAUUUGUUCGUCAAUCCAUUUGUGGAUAAAUCCAUGUCUCAGUGUCCAUUUUUCCUCCACCAAUUCCUGUAGUUAGUUAAACAGCUCAUAUUAAAUUAGAAUAUCACCAAAAAGAUGACCUAGUUUAAUAAUUUAUUGUUAUUUUUAAUCCUAAAAAUUUUCUUAUGGUGUAAACAAUCAUUAGAAAUGAAAAAAAAGCCUUGUUUUUCUGAGAAUGAUGUAUCAAUAGAAGGUUUAGUGGAAGGAAAACGUGUUGCAUAAGUGUCAGGGUGUUACAAGAAAUGAAUAAAAGCCCACAGAGCCAAGAAUACAGAUGAGCUGAAGCAAUCUGGACUUCAUUAUCACCUCAGCUGAUCAUCUCCAUGCUACGCUGCACUGAUGCAGUAAUUCAUGCAAAAUGAAAUCCAACUAAAUGGUGAUAUAACACACAGUACAUUACCAACAUUUCUGUAAUAAAAGCUCACUUUUUAAAUUAGCCUUGUAUGACACUCUACAAUAUAUGAUAUUGUGUUUUAUUUUUAUUUUCUGUAAGCCAAGAAAUCAACUGAAAAAUAUUUAAAAAUAUUUAUCAGCAUGUGAAUUUCACUUUUAUGAAACAAAUUACUGAAAUAAAUCAUCUUAACAGUU
This is a long non-coding RNA of Xiphophorus hellerii (green swordtail), 2439 nucleotides long. RefSeq lists it as uncharacterized. The transcript has 2 exons. NCBI's taxonomy places the organism in Eukaryota, Metazoa, Chordata, Actinopteri, Cyprinodontiformes, Poeciliidae. The record is from RefSeq and is a predicted model, not a curated record.